AUGCUAGUCGCGGGACUUAGACUCCCGGCGAAUAGCUCCGUAACACGUGGCCAAACUACCCACUGGAGAGCGAUAAUCUCGGGAAACUGAGGCUAAUAGCUCAUAGCGCUUCCACGCUGGAAUGCACGAAGUGUGAAACGCUCCGGCGCCGGUGGAUGUGGCUGCGGCCGAUUAGGUAGACGGUGGGGUAACGGCCCACCGUGCCGAUAAUCGGUACGGGUUGUGAGAGCAAGAACCCGGAGACGGAAUCUGAGACAAGAUUCCGGGCCCUACGGGGCGCAGCAGGCGCGAAACCUUUACACUGCACGACAGUGCGAUAGGGGGACUCCAAGUGCGAGGGCAUAUAGUCCUCGCUUUUCGUGACCGUAAGGUGGUCUCGGAAUAAGAGCUGGGCAAGACCGGUGCCAGCCGCCGCGGUAAUACCGGCAGCUCGAGUGAUGGCCGAUCUUAUUGAGCCUAAAGCGUCCGUAGCUGGCCGCGAAAGUCCAUCGGGAAAUCCGUCCGCUUAACGGACGGGCGUCCGGUGGAAACUUCGCGGCUUGGGACCGGAAGACCCGAGGGGUACGUCCGGGGUAGGAGUGAAAUCCCGUAAUCCUGGACGGACCACCGAUGGCGAAAGCACCUCGGGAGGACGGAUCCGACAGUGAGGGACGAAAGCUAGGGUCUCGAACCGGAUUAGAUACCCGGGUAGUCCUAGCCGUAAACGAUGUUCGCUAGGUGUGACACAGGCUACGAGCCUGUGUUGUGCCGUAGGGAAGCCGAGAAGCGAACCGCUUGGGAAGUACGUCCGCAAGGAUGAAACUUAAAGGAAUUGGCGGGGGAGCACUACAACCGGAGGAGCCUGCGGUUUAAUUGGACUCAACGCCGGACAUCUCACCAGCUCCGACUACAGUGAUGACGGUCAGGUUGAUGACCUAGUCACGAGCUGUAGAGAGGAGGUGCAUGGCCGCCGUCAGCUCGUACCGUGAGGCGUCCUGUUAAGUCAGGCAACGAGCGAGACCCACAUUCCUAAUUGCCAGCAUCAGGUUCGCCUGGAUGGGUACAUUAGGGAGACUGCCGUGGCUAACACGGAGGAAGGAAUGGGCAACGGUAGGUCAGUAUGCCCCGAAUGAGCUGGGCUACACGCGGGCUACAAUGGCCGAGACAGUGGGUUCCAACCUCGAGAGAGGACGGUAAUCUCCGAAACUCGGUCGUAGUUCGGAUUGUGGGUUGAAACUCACCCACAUGAAGCUGGAUUCGGUAGUAAUCGCGUCUCAGCAGGGCGCGGUGAAUACGUCCCUGCUCCUUGCACACACCGCCCGUCAAAGCACCCGAGUGAGGUCCGGAUGAGGCGUUCAUGCGAACGUCGAAUCUGGGCUUCGCAAGGGGC
Molecule: ribosomal RNA, 1369 nt
Filed under: Haloferax sp.
Lineage: Archaea; Methanobacteriati; Methanobacteriota; Halobacteria; Halobacteriales; Haloferacaceae
Description: bacterial SSU rRNA
Rfam family: Archaeal small subunit ribosomal RNA
Source: RNAcentral